UAGUGGCGAACGGGUGAGUAACGCGUGGGCAACCUGCCCUUUACAGGGGGAUAACACCGAGAAAUCGGUGCUAAUACCGCAUGAAGUAUCUCUGGUGCAUGCCGGAGAUAUCAAAGGAGUCGCUUUAAAAAGCGCAUCCGGUAAGGGAUGGGCCCGCGUCUGAUUAGCUAGUUGGUAAGGUAACGGCUUACCAAGGCGACGAUCAGUAGCCGAUCUGAGAGGAUGAACGGCCACACUGGAACUGAGACACGGUCCAGACUCCUACGGGAGGCAGCAGUGGGGAAUAUUGCGCAAUGGGGGAAACCCUGACGCAGCAACGCCGCGUGGAGGAAGAAGGUCUUCGGAUUGUAAACUCCUGUCUUCAGGGACGAAAAUGACGGUACCUGAGGAGGAAGCCACGGCUAACUACGUG
This 412-nucleotide ribosomal RNA is filed under the name uncultured bacterium. RNAcentral's name for it is "bacterial SSU rRNA". It matches the Rfam family "Bacterial small subunit ribosomal RNA", at positions 93 to 507 of the family's 1533-position model. The record is from RNAcentral.